Molecule: ribosomal RNA, 462 nt
Filed under: uncultured bacterium
Lineage: Bacteria
Description: partial 16S ribosomal RNA
Rfam family: Bacterial small subunit ribosomal RNA
Source: RNAcentral
GACGAACGCCGGCGGCGUGCUUAACACAUGCAAGUCGAGCGGUAAGGCCUUUCGGGGUACACGAGCGGCGAACGGGUGAGUAACGCGUGGGUGAUCUGCCCUGCACUUCGGGAUAAGCCUGGGAAACUGGGUCUAAUACCGGAUAUGACCUCCUAUCGCAUGGUGGGUGGUGGAAAGAUUUAUCGGUGCAGGAUGGGCCCGCGGCCUAUCAGCUUGUUGGUGGGGUAAUGGCCUACCAAGGCGACGACGGGUAGCCGACCUGAGAGGGUGACCGGCCACACUGGGACUGAGACACGGCCCAGACUCCUACGGGAGGCAGCAGUGGGGAAUAUUGCACAAUGGGCGAAAGCCUGAUGCAGCGACGCCGCGUGAGGGAUGACGGCCUUCGGGUUGUAAACCUCUUUCAGCAGGGACGAAGCGCAAGUGACGGUACCUGCAGAAGAAGCACCGGCUAACUACGUG